CCAGCUUAAGAAGUCAGCAUUGAAGUCAUCUAGUGAGAAACUAGGAGAACAACACGUGGACUCCAACCCUGAAGAAAUCCAACUGCCCGCUAUAGGAACUAAGAAUACAUCAGAGACGCCAAGUGGUCCAGAAACAUCUGAAGAAGAUUCUGCAGUCCAGGACCAAAGCUGAAACAGUCUUCAUCUGUGUGUGGAACUGCUGUGGGCCGGUCCUCUCUGGGAAGACGUGACGGACCUCAAAGCUGUUUAACCUGCAGCUAUCUAGUAUUUAUUAGAUGAGCUGACAUUUCAAAUGUUUGAACAGAACUGACAGCAACGAUCUUCUGCAGAGGGACAUGUGUCUCCAUCUCAGCAGCAAGUUGAGGAAGCAGUGAAACAUCUGCUGUCAGGAGAGAUGAACAUGACUGGAUGAACGCAAAUACUAAAUGACCAAAGAUGCCUGACUCUAAUUGUGUCUUCAUGUUUCUUUUAACUUUUUAAAAAUACAACAGCAGUAAAUUAUAAGGUUUAUCUGAUCAAAUCUUUCUCAUUAUGAGUUGGAUAAACUGUUUGUCAGUGGAUCAGCAGCAACCAACUUUCAUCAGAAACCUUUGCACAAAGCAAGUUAUUCAUGUAAACAUUAACUUGUUCUGUGGUUUUAUUGCUGUAAUGUCUUUGUAUUUAUAUUGUUGUACAUAUUUGUGUGUUGGAGUCUUAAAGCAUAUUUUCAUAUCAGAAACACCAUGAGCUCAGUGUUUCUCAACCUUUAGUUGGGAUAUUAUUUAUAAAUCAAGACAACAGCCUAUUUAAGGCUCUGUAUUCUAAUGUGUUGCUGCUGGAUAUUAGGGAAAUGUUUUUGUUUUACUCUGGAGAAUUAAAACUCUUUAUGGUGCCA
Fundulus heteroclitus (mummichog) is the source of this 874-nucleotide long non-coding RNA. RefSeq lists it as uncharacterized. The record is from RefSeq and is a predicted model, not a curated record. The transcript is spliced from 2 exons. Lineage: Eukaryota; Metazoa; Chordata; Actinopteri; Cyprinodontiformes; Fundulidae.